UUCCUUUUAUGGUGUGACCCUUUAGGUUCUCCAUAUUAAACCGGUUGUGAAUAAAUCAAUUAGAACAAUUCUAAUCUUAUUUAAAUAAAUAAAUUAAAAUAUUAAUUUAUUUAAAUAGAUAAUAUUUAUCUACAAUAAGGAUAAGUCUCCCUAGCGAUUAACGACUUUCCAGAUAAUAUAAAUUUCAACAUUAAUCAUAAAAGAACCUUUGAGUAAAUAGUUACUGUACAAUUCAAUCCUUCCACCAUACAAUGUCCCAAUUAAAU
RNAcentral lists this long non-coding RNA (266 nucleotides) under Panax ginseng (ginseng). RNAcentral describes it as "long non-coding RNA (PGIN_LNC008117)". The record is from RNAcentral. Lineage: Eukaryota; Viridiplantae; Streptophyta; Magnoliopsida; Apiales; Araliaceae.